Non-coding RNA from Ictidomys tridecemlineatus (thirteen-lined ground squirrel), 1090 nucleotides. NCBI's taxonomy places the organism in Eukaryota, Metazoa, Chordata, Mammalia, Rodentia, Sciuridae. The record is from RefSeq and is a predicted model, not a curated record.
UCCACUUUGUGAAACACCAGCGCACUUUCCCCACCCUGGGUUGGAAUAACAGCCCAGGCCUUUUUAGAAUGUUAUCUGAAAUUCAAAACAGAUGAAGUCUCAGGAAGAUACAGAAACCAAAUGAGCACCACUUGGCUUCCAAACCACACGCCCAUUCCCUUGGGAGGCAGCAGCCCACACUCUGCUGCUGGGAGAGAAAAGACCAGAACUUGGCCCGAGUGAGCAGUUGGGCAACACUGAAGGUCCCCUGUGUCCUGGGCUUCGUUUCUCCCCCUGCUCGACCUGACACACACCGGCGGCACCACUGGGCCACUUCACGGGGCACAGGUGCUUCUCAUACAGGAACGAGCUUUCAGCACCUUUAAGAUUGUGAGUGAAGACUGGUAGGAGAUCGGGGAGCUGCAGGCCUGGGAGGGAUCCUGGCUGGGAGUGGAGGGCUGAGAACUACACACACCUCUCCUUUCCAACUUGUCCUUCCUUCUUCUUCUCUCCUGUCCCAACGCGGGGUAGGACUGUCAAGAAAGCAGUUUGUUGCAGAUUGCUAAGGACUAGAGGCCGGGAGCCUCCGCCCUCUCCCACCCCCGGAGACACCCCAAUACGAAUGCAGCUCCGGAGGGUCUCCAAUCCCCUGCCCACAAGGGCCACCCAAGGCCGCUCCAGGGCAGACUGCAGUCCCUUCUCUGGAGGCCUGGGGAGAAGAGAGUCGAUUCUCCCUGGAGGGCAGCGGAGCACCAGACAAGUAAUUAGGCCAAACUGCAAGUGGCAAUUACGUCUUUGCUUCUCAGAAAUGAUAAACAGAGGGCAGAGGGAGGGUUGCAUCACAGACUCCCAGGGGCACGGGAACAUUUGCUCUGAAAACUCAAGCUGGUCUCCGUGAACCAGGGUGAGGCCGCCAAUUGGUUCCCUGCCGGGUGCGGAAACGUUUCUUCAACAAUUACUGAGAGCUCCAAGCUCUUGAGUGAAAGGCUGGCUGCCUCCUCGCAGAGGCUGCUCCGUGCCCUGCUUGCUCUGGAUCACAUUUCUGUACCAUCUUCAUUAUAUAAUGUAAUUUAUGCCAUGUUUUAAUAUAGUUGUCUUUUUAUAGAGCCUA